RNAcentral lists this ribosomal RNA (1527 nucleotides) under Salmonella enterica. RNAcentral describes it as "bacterial SSU rRNA". It matches the Rfam family "Bacterial small subunit ribosomal RNA". The record is from RNAcentral. RNAcentral also lists the same sequence under 1 other name. Lineage: Bacteria; Pseudomonadati; Pseudomonadota; Gammaproteobacteria; Enterobacterales; Enterobacteriaceae.
UGAAGAGUUUGAUCAUGGCUCAGAUUGAACGCUGGCGGCAGGCCUAACACAUGCAAGUCGAACGGUAACAGGAAGCAGCUUGCUGCUUCGCUGACGAGUGGCGGACGGGUGAGUAAUGUCUGGGAAACUGCCUGAUGGAGGGGGAUAACUACUGGAAACGGUGGCUAAUACCGCAUAACGUCGCAAGACCAAAGAGGGGGACCUUCGGGCCUCUUGCCAUCAGAUGUGCCCAGAUGGGAUUAGCUAGUUGGUGAGGUAACGGCUCACCAAGGCGACGAUCCCUAGCUGGUCUGAGAGGAUGACCAGCCACACUGGAACUGAGACACGGUCCAGACUCCUACGGGAGGCAGCAGUGGGGAAUAUUGCACAAUGGGCGCAAGCCUGAUGCAGCCAUGCCGCGUGUAUGAAGAAGGCCUUCGGGUUGUAAAGUACUUUCAGCGGGGAGGAAGGUGUUGUGGUUAAUAACCGCAGCAAUUGACGUUACCCGCAGAAGAAGCACCGGCUAACUCCGUGCCAGCAGCCGCGGUAAUACGGAGGGUGCAAGCGUUAAUCGGAAUUACUGGGCGUAAAGCGCACGCAGGCGGUCUGUCAAGUCGGAUGUGAAAUCCCCGGGCUCAACCUGGGAACUGCAUUCGAAACUGGCAGGCUUGAGUCUUGUAGAGGGGGGUAGAAUUCCAGGUGUAGCGGUGAAAUGCGUAGAGAUCUGGAGGAAUACCGGUGGCGAAGGCGGCCCCCUGGACAAAGACUGACGCUCAGGUGCGAAAGCGUGGGGAGCAAACAGGAUUAGAUACCCUGGUAGUCCACGCCGUAAACGAUGUCUACUUGGAGGUUGUGCCCUUGAGGCGUGGCUUCCGGAGCUAACGCGUUAAGUAGACCGCCUGGGGAGUACGGCCGCAAGGUUAAAACUCAAAUGAAUUGACGGGGGCCCGCACAAGCGGUGGAGCAUGUGGUUUAAUUCGAUGCAACGCGAAGAACCUUACCUGGUCUUGACAUCCACAGAACUUUCCAGAGAUGGAUUGGUGCCUUCGGGAACUGUGAGACAGGUGCUGCAUGGCUGUCGUCAGCUCGUGUUGUGAAAUGUUGGGUUAAGUCCCGCAACGAGCGCAACCCUUAUCCUUUGUUGCCAGCGGUUAGGCCGGGAACUCAAAGGAGACUGCCAGUGAUAAACUGGAGGAAGGUGGGGAUGACGUCAAGUCAUCAUGGCCCUUACGACCAGGGCUACACACGUGCUACAAUGGCGCAUACAAAGAGAAGCGACCUCGCGAGAGCAAGCGGACCUCAUAAAGUGCGUCGUAGUCCGGAUUGGAGUCUGCAACUCGACUCCAUGAAGUCGGAAUCGCUAGUAAUCGUGGAUCAGAAUGCCACGGUGAAUACGUUCCCGGGCCUUGUACACACCGCCCGUCACACCAUGGGAGUGGGUUGCAAAAGAAGUAGGUAGCUUAACCUUCGGGAGGGCGCUUACCACUUUGUGAUUCAUGACUGGGGUGAAGUCGUAACAAGGUAACCGUAGGGGAACCUGCGGUUGGA